CUAAAAUAGAAAUGUAAAAAAAAAAAAAAUAUUGUUGCAGAAAAAACAAUUUAUAUUUGUGGAGAACAUUCUCUCUAUCAUUCAUUGAUUGAUUAUUAUAACGUCAUAUGGUUGCCAAAUAGUUCCCAUAUGUUAAUAACGUCAUAUGGCUGACAAAUUAGUUCCCAUAUGUAUGUAGGGACUAGGGACCCCAUAUGUAACUGCGCAGAAAUUCAUUUAACUUUUCGAGUAAGCAAGGUAGUUGACCAUAAAUUAUACAGUUAUAUAAAUAAAGACUAAAGAGUUUAUAGUUUUCAUAGGAAACCAAGACUUAGGCCAAGAACAUACGUACUAGAUAUGGGAAAUUGUUGCUCCGGACUUUGUAGUGACGAUUCAGAUGGAAAUCAAGGUCAUCAUGGUGGGGGUGGAGUAGGUGGCGGAGCAGGUGGCGGCGGAGGCUGUGGAGGUGGAGGCGGUGGCGGAGGCUGUGGAGGUGGAGGCGGUGGCGGUGGCUGCUAGAUUAUGAUAAACAGGUUGAAUAUGGGGUUAGAAGAAAGCUGAUGCUUGAAGCAAGAUAUUAAUUUUCUUUAGGAAUUUAUCAUUAGAUUUCUUCCAUGUACUCUUGUUUAAUCAACUUGAUGAACUAAUGUUAUGUUUAGUCUUAUGCUCAUGAAUUCAGACUUAUGUAUUUCUAUUUUUGGAUUUCUAGUGCUUAUGUAUUAAUUCAAACAAAUUUGUUUGUAAUUCUAAUGUAUUCAGUACAACUAGUUGGGUUUAUUAGGCGUAA
This is a long non-coding RNA of Trifolium pratense (red clover), 766 nucleotides long. RefSeq lists it as uncharacterized. Lineage: Eukaryota; Viridiplantae; Streptophyta; Magnoliopsida; Fabales; Fabaceae. The record is from RefSeq and is a predicted model, not a curated record. The transcript has 2 exons.